Long non-coding RNA from Antechinus flavipes (yellow-footed antechinus), 400 nucleotides. RefSeq lists it as uncharacterized. The transcript is spliced from 3 exons. Lineage: Eukaryota; Metazoa; Chordata; Mammalia; Dasyuromorphia; Dasyuridae. The record is from RefSeq and is a predicted model, not a curated record.
CUUUCGGAACCAUCCACAUGACAACCAUACAAGAGACAGAAAGGAUGCCCCAGUUAACCCAACAAUCAAGGGGAAAAAGUGGGAAAUCUCUAAGAUGAAAAAUGAGAUUGUCUCAGACCAUCAUCUUUCAUCCAGAUGUCAACAGAUCACUGACAUUUCUCAAUCAACAACCUUGUGCCAAGAAAUAUCCAAUAUCCUGAUUUCAUCAACAAUGCCCCAGACCACAGAGCAGAUUCUGCUGGCAAUAUCUCCAUUUGCCAGGCCGCCUCUCCCAAUGACAACAACAUUUAACAAGCCUACGUCUGAAAAACCUGUGUCAAAGAUACCUGCAACCCCAAGAGAAGCACCAGCCCUGUCCAUCUUUACAACUAAUCCUCAAGUAUCAUUUCAGAAUACUUCU